This 165-nucleotide ribosomal RNA is filed under the name uncultured bacterium. RNAcentral's name for it is "partial 16S rRNA". It matches the Rfam family "Bacterial small subunit ribosomal RNA", at positions 355 to 511 of the family's 1533-position model. The record is from RNAcentral.
UAGGGAAUCUUCCACAAUGGACGAAAGUCUGAUGGAGCAACGCCGCGUGAGUGAAGAAGGUUUUCGGAUACGUAAAGCUCUGUUGUUGGUGAAGAAGGAUAGAGGCAGUAACUGGUCUUUAUUUGACGGUAAUCAACCAGAAAGUCACGGCUAACUACGUGCCAA